GCCUUCAUGGUUUAGUGGGCAGCACGCUUGGCUCGUAUUCGAGAGGUCCAUGGUUUGAGUCCAGGCGAAGGCA
Molecule: transfer RNA, 73 nt
Filed under: Stegodyphus mimosarum
Lineage: Eukaryota; Metazoa; Arthropoda; Arachnida; Araneae; Eresidae
Rfam family: tRNA
About the family: Transfer RNA (tRNA) molecules are approximately 80 nucleotides in length. Their secondary structure includes four short double-helical elements and three loops (D, anti-codon, and T loops). Further hydrogen bonds mediate the characteristic L-shaped molecular structure. tRNAs have two regions of fundamental functional importance: the anti-codon, which is responsible for specific mRNA codon recognition, and the 3' end, to which the tRNAs corresponding amino acid is attached (by aminoacyl-tRNA synthetases). tRNAs cope with the degeneracy of the genetic code in two manners: having more than one tRNA (with a specific anti-codon) for a particular amino acid; and 'wobble' base-pairing, i.e. permitting non-standard base-pairing at the 3rd anti-codon position.
Source: Rfam by way of RNAcentral